This 311-nucleotide ribosomal RNA is filed under the name uncultured bacterium. RNAcentral's name for it is "bacterial SSU rRNA". It matches the Rfam family "Bacterial small subunit ribosomal RNA", at positions 29 to 342 of the family's 1533-position model. The record is from RNAcentral.
AACGAACGCUGGCGGCAUGCCUUACACAUGCAAGUCGAACGGCAGCACGGGAGCAAUCCUGGUGGCGAGUGGCGAACGGGUGAGUAAUAUAUCGGAACGUGCCCGGUCGUGGGGGAUAACGUAGCGAAAGCUACGCUAAUACCGCAUACGAUCUACGGAUGAAAGCGGGGAUCGCAAGACCUCGCGCGAUUGGAGCGGCCGAUAUCAGAUUAGGUAGUUGGUGAGGUAAAGGCUCACCAAGCCGACGAUCUGUAGCUGGUCUGAGAGGAUGACCAGCCACACUGGGACUGAGACACGGCCCAGACUCCUAC